CCUUGCAAUUCCAUUAUAUUCACAAAUGUAUUUUUUGAAAUCAUGUACAAUAUUUUCUCUGAAACGUCGUUUUUUUUAUGCUUAGCACAUGAUUUAUACCAGAAUGCACCAUUAACUAAUGUUUUGAAAACCUGGAAUUUCUUACAAAAUGUGCUCUCAGAAUGCUACAAAUGCCAUUUCAGGGAUCCAAAUUUUAAACAUUUUCUGGGGGGCACGUCCCCAGACCCCCCUACAAAUUUCGUGCCUUCGGCACUCGCCCCCCCCCCCCAAAAAAAAAAAAAAUUCGCAAAGUUUCCGCCACUGCUGAGUGAGUGAGGUUAACUUGUGAUACAACAGUAACAACACUCAUCAUUGCUCAUCAGCAAAACAUUUUAUUCAUCAGUUACACGCCUUUUUAGCAAGUUUAAAUUUUAAGCAACUAACUAUUAAUGAAAAAUCAUGGUGCCCGCGAUCAGCCGGCGCAUAAGUUGACCUCACUUGGGGUUAUAGAUUCAUGUCUGGGUUAGGUUAAAACGCGGAAGCGGAUGCGGAACGGAUAUGCGGAACGGAACGGAUAUGGGUUAAAAUGCGGAACGGAACGGAUAUGCGGAACAGAACGGAUAUGGGGUUAAAAUGCGGAACGGAACGGAUAUGCGGAACGGAUAUGGGGUUGAAAUGCGGAACGGAACGGAUAUGCGGAACGGAACGGAUAUGGGGUUAUAAUGCGGAACGGAACGGAUAUGGGGUUAAAAUGCGGAACGGAUAUGGGGUUAAAACGCGGAAUGGAACGGGAAUAAAUCGUUUUUUAAAAACAGACAUGAUUUUUCAUGUUCCGCGUUUUACCCCCAUAUCCGUUCCGUUCCGCAUUUUAACCCCAUAUCCGUUCCGUUCCGCAUUUUAACCCCAUAUCCGUUCCGUUCCGCAUUUUAACCCCAUAUCCGUUCCGUUCCGUUCCGCAUAUCCGUUCCGUUCCGCAUUUUAACCCCAUAUCCGUUCCGUUCCGCAUCCGUUCCGUUCCGCAUCCGCUUCCGCGUUUUAACCUAACCCAUUCAUGUCUCGCUAUUUAUAAUGCUAACCCUAAUCCCCACCCUAAACCUAACCCUAAACGCUAACCCUAUUAGCGAGACAUGAAUUCACUUGGCGCACGGUAACACUACCUCAGAUUAUCUUCGGCGUGAGGUUUACACGGAAUGCACCCUGG
Paramuricea clavata is the source of this 1180-nucleotide non-coding RNA. Lineage: Eukaryota; Metazoa; Cnidaria; Anthozoa; Malacalcyonacea; Plexauridae. The record is from the annotation of a GenBank genome assembly.